UUUGUACGUCGAAUUUUGGUCGCGUCGAAUGCAAUUAUGACAAUAGAUAAUGAGAUGGUGGAGCUUCAUUAUCUAUUGUUUGAAUUGCAUUCGACGCGACCGAAAUUCGACGUAUAAA
Paramuricea clavata is the source of this 118-nucleotide non-coding RNA. The record is from the annotation of a GenBank genome assembly. NCBI's taxonomy places the organism in Eukaryota, Metazoa, Cnidaria, Anthozoa, Malacalcyonacea, Plexauridae.